Molecule: transfer RNA, 88 nt
Filed under: Compsopogon caeruleus
Lineage: Eukaryota; Rhodophyta; Compsopogonophyceae; Compsopogonales; Compsopogonaceae
Description: tRNA-Ser
Rfam family: tRNA
About the family: Transfer RNA (tRNA) molecules are approximately 80 nucleotides in length. Their secondary structure includes four short double-helical elements and three loops (D, anti-codon, and T loops). Further hydrogen bonds mediate the characteristic L-shaped molecular structure. tRNAs have two regions of fundamental functional importance: the anti-codon, which is responsible for specific mRNA codon recognition, and the 3' end, to which the tRNAs corresponding amino acid is attached (by aminoacyl-tRNA synthetases). tRNAs cope with the degeneracy of the genetic code in two manners: having more than one tRNA (with a specific anti-codon) for a particular amino acid; and 'wobble' base-pairing, i.e. permitting non-standard base-pairing at the 3rd anti-codon position.
Source: RNAcentral
AGGAGAGAUGGCUGAGCGGUUUAAGGCGCAGCAUUGGAAAUGCUGUUUAAGUAUUGCUUACCGAGGGUUCGAAUCCCUCUCUCUCCUA